GCCCAACUAGCUCAGUCAGUAGAGCAUUACACUCUUAAUUUCAGGGUCGUGGGUUCGAGCCCCACAUUAGGUG
Molecule: non-coding RNA, 73 nt
Organism: Megalops atlanticus (tarpon)
Lineage: Eukaryota; Metazoa; Chordata; Actinopteri; Elopiformes; Megalopidae
Source: the annotation of a GenBank genome assembly